AGUCGGUGCAAGCCCCGGGAUUGCCUGAGGCAAGCCAAAGGAGCCCCAGAUGGAGACGGGACUGCCGGUCGUCGGGUGUCCUGGAAGCCGAAUGCGAAUGCGGAGGGGCUCGCGGGCCGCGCGGAGGCAACCCAGACCUGCCACAACAUUACCAGAAGAUAAAGUGUUUACGCUCUUCUACACAAUUAUUGUCCCCAUGCUCAACCCGCUUAUCUACACACUUAGAAACAUGGAGAUGAAAAAUUCCAUAAGAAGAGUUUGGUGCAAUAAAAGGUUCUGGGAAGGGAACUUAAUGAUCUGAAGGUCAUUCGUCUGACGCCAGUGACUGUCUUCUCAUCACUCCCUCUGUUGCUGAUUCUCUCCUGCUAAUGGGAAAAUCAGUCAGAAUGUGUAAAAGCCAAGCCUCCAACAACAGCUUGCCUUCAGUGAUUCCUUCUUUAUUUUCCUCUCAAUGUGUUUUCCUUGAUUUCACUUUUCACUAAUAAUCCCCUUUGUUUAAAAAAAAAAAAGAAAAGAAAAGAAAAGAAAACUUUUUACAGAGUAAAAACACAGUGAAAAGUCUGGAGGGAGAGUGAUCCUGCCUGUAUUGAAGGCUAAACCUGGGGGAGACUUCGCUCUCAAAAUACUUGGCCUCAAGGUAUAAAAGGUAAUAAUAUGUUAAAAGGUAAAAGACAGUUGAAGAAUCCACCUGCUAAUGCAGGAGACACAGGUUCAAUCCUUGGGCUAGGAAGAUCCUCUGGAGAAGGAAAUGGCUACCCACUCCAGUGUUUUUGCCUGGGAAAUCCCAUGGAGAGAGGAAUCUGGUGGGCUACAGCCCAUGGGGAUGCAAAACAGCUGGACAUGAUUCAGCGACUAAACAAAAACAAAAAGGCAGUUAUAGGAAAAUAAGAACAAUCACAUACUGCAAACUCCUUUCUGAGCUAUAUACCUAGCCUCGUAUCCUACAACUCUAGAUUUCUUUUAAUCAAGUACCUAGAGAUCUUUUUGUGUGUAUUUGUGAACUGUGAUUAUUUUACUUAAGUGAAAUGAAUAUGUAGAUCUAAAUACAACAUAGUGUAAAGUCCAGCCUUAUAGUCUACAUGGCAAGUCUUACAGUCUGAAAAGCAAGUCACUGUGUGAUCUGUUUGUGAAGUAACAUUGUAAGUAUUGGGGAAAAUAUAUACAAACUCUUGCUAUUUUAACUGGGUUUGAUAUUAAGUAUACAUGAUCAAGGAAUAAAUAAACUACCACUGACUUUGCUACA
RNAcentral lists this long non-coding RNA (1243 nucleotides) under Bos indicus x Bos taurus (hybrid cattle). RNAcentral's name for it is "lncRNA (ENSBIXG00000007567.1)". The record is from RNAcentral. Lineage: Eukaryota; Metazoa; Chordata; Mammalia; Artiodactyla; Bovidae.